This is a long non-coding RNA of Neofelis nebulosa (Clouded leopard), 604 nucleotides long. RefSeq lists it as uncharacterized. The record is from RefSeq and is a predicted model, not a curated record. The transcript has 3 exons. NCBI's taxonomy places the organism in Eukaryota, Metazoa, Chordata, Mammalia, Carnivora, Felidae.
CUCUUAUUUUACAGUUGAGAAAAUGGAGACGAGAGAAAAUAGGCUUUCUUCUCUUUUCUGGUUCAUGCCAAAUGCUCAUUGCCCUGUGCCCUCCAAGUUCACAAAUCAUUGACAACACAGCAGAACUGUGAAGAAAACUGCUGAGCCAUGGACAUGAAUUCAGAACACUCAAGCUUGAACCCACUUCUAUGCAUUCCACCAUCUUUGGGCCAGGCACGACUUCAUACCAUCUUCAGAAAUUGAAGUUUAACAGGAAUUCUCCAUGAAACACAUCAGGAAGCUGCUCAGGGUAUUGCUCUGAAAAGGCUGUGCUUGUCCGUAGAGCUAGGAUGGAUUUCUCAAUAGCAUUACCUAGGGAACACCACACAGACACCAAUGCUAUAGAUCUUCAGUCACACUCCAUCCUCAGCUGUUCCUCUCCUAUUGGUGAUCCUUAGGCAGGAGUAUGAGGUACAAGGGGCACAUACCAUAUAAAAAACAGUCCUUGCCCACAAACCUGAGCCUUUGUCUUGAGUUUGGUUGACUGGUCUUGAGUUUGGGCCCUUCCUUUUCAAGAAAUCCCUGGGAUUAGAUCUUUUCCCAAAGUGAUCCACUUUCUUCAUAU